GGAAUUUUGCGCAAUGGGGGCAACCCUGACGCAGCAACGCCGCGUGAUUGAAUAAGCCCUUCGGGGUGUAAAGAUCUGUCAGUAGGGACGAAACUUGACGGUACCUACAGAGGAAGCAUCGGCUAACUCCGUGCCAGCAGCCGCGGUAAUACGGGGGAUGCGAGCGUUGUCCGGAAUCAUUGGGCGUAAAGAGUUCGUAGGUGGUUUGUUAAGUUUGGUGUUAAAUGCAGAGGCUCAACUUCUGUUCGGCAUCGGAUACUGGCAGACUUGAAUGCGGUAGAGGUAAAGGGAAUUCCUGGUGUAGCGGUGAAAUGCGUAGAUAUCAGGAGGAACAUCGGUGGCGUAAGCGCUUUACUGGGCCGUAAUUGACACUGAGGAACGAAAGCCGGGGUAGCAAAUG
Molecule: ribosomal RNA, 400 nt
Filed under: uncultured bacterium
Lineage: Bacteria
Description: bacterial SSU rRNA
Rfam family: Bacterial small subunit ribosomal RNA
Source: RNAcentral